AACGAACGCUGGCGGCAGGCCUAACACAUGCAAGUCGAACGCACCGCAAGGUGAGUGGCGCACGGGUGAGUAACACGUGGGAAUGUACCCUUUGGUUCGGAAUAACGUUUGGAAACGAACGCUAAUACCGGAUGAGCCCUGUGGGGGAAAGAUUUAUCGCCAAAGGAGCAGCCCGCGUCUGAUUAGCUAGUUGGUGGGGUAAAGGCCUACCAAGGCGACGAUCAGUAGCUGGUCUGAGAGGAUGAUCAGCCACACUGGGACUGAGACACGGCCCAGACUCCUACGGGAGGCAGCAGUGGGGAAUAUUGGACAAUGGGCGGAAGCCUGAUCCAGCCAUGCCGCGUGAGUGAUGAAGGCCUUCGGGUUGUAAAGCUCUUUCGUCACGCGACGAUGAUGACGGUAGCGUGAGAAGAAGCCCCGGCUAACUUCGUGCCAGCAGCCGCGGU
RNAcentral lists this ribosomal RNA (446 nucleotides) under uncultured bacterium. Its description in RNAcentral is "bacterial SSU rRNA". It matches the Rfam family "Bacterial small subunit ribosomal RNA", at positions 29 to 521 of the family's 1533-position model. The record is from RNAcentral.